This 440-nucleotide ribosomal RNA is filed under the name uncultured bacterium. RNAcentral's name for it is "partial 16S ribosomal RNA". It matches the Rfam family "Bacterial small subunit ribosomal RNA", at positions 338 to 795 of the family's 1533-position model. The record is from RNAcentral.
CCUACGGGUGGCAGCAGUGGGGAAUAUUGCACAAUGGGGGAAACCCUGAUGCAGCGACGCCGCGUGAGUGAAGAAGUAUCUCGGUACGUAAAGCUCUAUCAGCAGGGAAGAUAAUGACGGUACCUGACCACGAAGCCCCGGCUAACUACGUGCCAGCAGCCGCGGUAAUACGUAGGGGGCCAGCGUUAUCCGGAUUUCCUGGGAGUAAAGGGAGCGUAGACGGCAGCACAAGUCUGGAGUGAAAUCCCGGGGCUUAACCCCGGAACUGCUUUGGAAACUGUGCGGCUGGAGGGCAGGAGGGGUAAGCGGAAUUCCUAGUGUAGCGGUGAAAUGCGGAGAUAUUAGGAGGAACACCGGUGGCGAAGGCGGCUUACUGGACUGUAACUGACGUUGAGGCUCGAAAGCGUGGGGAGCAAACAGGAUUAGAUACCCUGGUAGUC